CCAUGAUUCCCGGUCUUCAAGGUGUUAAAAAGCUAAUUCUGGGCUGCAAAGUGUGGAGUUCUCUAGAAGAAUCCAGAGAAGCAAAGACUCAAGAAGGUGGGGCCUUGAGAUCAAAGUGUGGGCAAAGUUUCCUCACCCCUCACUGAUGUCACCGUGGGCCGCUCUGUACUGUUCCUGUCCCCGGAGGCCUGCACAACAUUCCCCCGCGGCUGCCAGAGGCGUCCUCCUCUUCCAGCUUGAUCCUCAGCUUAGUGGACGGGGUCCUGGCCACCUGCUUCCGUCACACCCUGUUGGAUGACCACCGCCACCCUCUCCGUCUGACAAGAGCCUGGACUUCAGUGCAGGGGGUCAGGCGGGGUGUGCACUGACAGCAUCUGUGAUGACUUUUUCGAGUAGCCCUGUGCCGAGGGAGAGGACAUCAGCCAGCAAAAGCCACCUCGAGGGUGGAGGGACCACUGGAGGCCGGAGAAUGGUUUCUGUGCUUUUUGAACAAGAGGCCCAGCAUUUUCUUUUUCUUUUUUUGGUACCAGGGAUAGAACUUGGGUCCUUGCGCUUGCGCAGCAGGAGGAAUUUCACAGCCAGAAAAUACUGGGACACCCCCAUCACAACCAAGCCUUUCCUGGGAGCGAUGAAACAGCUGAGGGCACAGCGGGCAGAUGCUGGCCACCACUGUCCCAAGCUGGGGCUCCCGGCAUGAGGCCACCUCCUCCACACCCCACCCCAGCCAUGAUGGCACGAGCCCCUUCCACGAGCGCAGAAUCUGCACACGUGCCUCAGGGCAGGAAUCUGAAUUCGGGGAAAAACAUGACUCAAUCUGGCGUGGGCUACGGUGACCUUGCUGUUUGCAGCUGAAAGCACCUGAUCUCGAUGGGAUCCCAGGUCCAGAAGCCACACAUGGUGACUCAGGAGAUCUGAGUGGUUCUGCCCUGGCCUCCCAGACACUGGUCCAGCCCCACUGUCCUCAGGCACUACAGAGUAAGCAAGUCCGUUUUCUGAGAAUUUGCAUCCAAGAAACGAGAAGAAAUGUGUGGCUGAACAUUGCUCCAAACAUAGUCAUGGAGAAACAAAGACACGCCAACAGCACACGGGCAAAAAUAACUAACUGCAUAGUUACCACAAAAACAAUCUAAUGCACUUAUUUUGUAGCGAAAAAAUAGAUCCACUCUGUAGCAGAGUUAAAACCAUUGGAAGUAAUGAUAAUUGCUUGUGAACCAGACCCGCCCCUUCCCUGCAGCUCCCUG
RNAcentral lists this long non-coding RNA (1241 nucleotides) under Heterocephalus glaber (naked mole-rat). RNAcentral describes it as "lncRNA (ENSHGLG00100037320.1)". The record is from RNAcentral. Lineage: Eukaryota; Metazoa; Chordata; Mammalia; Rodentia; Bathyergidae.